Molecule: non-coding RNA, 87 nt
Filed under: Paenibacillus sp. UNCCL117
Lineage: Bacteria; Bacillati; Bacillota; Bacilli; Caryophanales; Paenibacillaceae
Also listed under: 1 other name
Source: RNAcentral
UAACCGCGGCAAAGAAGCCGCGCUGAACCUACAGGAGUCAGCAGAGGCCAUAGUGCGGGAGUAUGGGACGUCAGAAACCGGAAGGGC